UCCAUUCUUAUGCUGCUAAUUAAGACAUACUCAAGACUGGGUAAUUUAUAAAGGAAAGAGGUUUAAUUUACUCACAAUUCAACAUGGCUGGGGAGGCCUCAGGAAACCUACAAUCAUGGCAGAAGGGGAAGCAAACACGUCCUUCUUCACAUGGUGGGAGCAAGGAGAACUGCCUAACAAAAGAAGGGAAAACUGUUUCUAAACCAUCAGCUCUCGGAAGAACACACUGUCAUGAGAACAGCAGCAUGCAGAUUCAGGACCUUGCUCUGCUGUCCAGGCUAGAGUGCAAUGGCAUCAUCAUCGCUGACUGCAGCCCUAAACUCCAGGGCCCAAGGGUUCAAGCAAUCCUCCUACCUCAACAGGCACAUGCCACUGCACCAGCGUAAUUAAAAAAACGCUUUUUUUUUCAUGGAUGAUGUCUUGCUUGAUUCAUUCACAUUAAGUAUUCCCACACCCUCACUUUUCCAGUCUCUUCAUUCUGAAGCUUGUUGAAUGCCUUGUUACUUUUACGGUUUCAUUAAAGUCACAAUGCUCAGCCCACCGUUUUGUGGAAAGAGAUAGGAGGUGCCUUCAGGAAAUUUCAAGCCACCUGGGACAUUGAAGCCACCUGCUUCUCUGAAGCUUCUUUUUGGGGUUUACAUUGCCUUGAGUAGUGACUUGUCACUUCCCACCUUCAGUAGGUGGGAAGGAGUGAAUGGGCACGGUGCCCACACAUCCUCUUACACAGUUAAUAAUAGUUAAAGAAGAAAAAGAGGCCCUGCUAACUCAUUAUGGUUGAAUUUAAUAAAUUUUCUAGCCAUGAUUAAAUGACCUUUUUUUUUUCUGUCUUUAUUCUUUCUCUUGAUUCCCUUUAUAGGCACAGUGACGUCACUAGCACCUGUUUUUCUGAACAGUUAAUUUUUUUGACACAAAUGUACUCUUAAGUGCAAAAACUAUAGAGUUCCUGUACUUUCUUCCAUUAUAUUAAUAUCUUCCAUAACUGUACAGCGCUGCAUUAACAUCCUCUCUAGCCACAAUACCUUGAUCGAAACAAAGAAGUGCAUCUUGUUAUAACACUGUUAGCUUUUUAAAGUUAAUAAACUAUGAUCACUUAGAUUUCACCUAAUGCCGUUUUUUCUGGUCUGUGACCCAGUCUGAGAACUCACAUUAGGUUCAGCUAUCACAACUCGUUAGUCUCCUCUAAUUUGGAACAGGUCCUCAUUCUCUCCUUGUCUUUCAUAACCUUGACACUUGCCAGGAGUACUGCUCAGUUAUCAGAAAACAAUAAACAACCUCAAUUUGGGUUUAUUUAUCAUUUUCUCACGAUUAUGCUGAAGUUACGCACCAAUGGGAAGGAUACUAGGAAAGUGAUGGGUCCUUCUUAAUGCAUCCUAUCAAGGGUGCGUGUCAAUGUGUAUAUAUUACUUACAAUGCUAGUCACAAUACGUCGGCUUAGAUGAUGUCAGCCAAGAUGCUCUACUCUAACGUUAACUAUUCUUCCAUUUGUAAUUACUACAUAUUUCAAGGGAGAUACAUUGAGACUACACAAAUGCCCUAUUUGGACUUAAACUUUUACGUCAGGCUACCCAAGGCCUGGUCUUCUAUGAAUAUAAAACUGAUGUUCUUAGGUUACCUAAACUAUCAAGCACCCUCCCCCUUUACCUAAAGCAAACGUCUUUCACAAGGUCAGCUUAGAGGGUUGCCAGCAAGGUUUCAGUUUCCUUCUGGUUUCAGAUUCAUAUCAAUUACUUCCUACUGUCUUAUAAACUCAGUUAAAACACUGAAUGGAGUGCUUGUUAUACUUUAUCCAGCAUUUCUCUGCGUUUUGUAAUGGGGAUUAUCUCUUCAGAUUAACUCUGCUAGCAACGUGCUGAAAAUGAUUAUUGCUUUACCCACCUGCGUACACUGACACCAACAUACAUUUAUUUUCUCAAGGCCCUCAUUGUGAUACUUAUGUUUUCUAAACUUUUCUUGAUUUGUGAACUUUUUCAUGUGAAAAGACAAUUGUGUAAAAAUUAAAUUCUUGUUACACCUUUAGUCAAUCACUGUCAUUUUUUUAAAGAAUAAAAUUAAGACAAUCACAGGAAGUCCUGGGCAUAUGUUGUUUGCGUCUACAGCACAUGAAUCACAUAGCUCAGCUUCUCCAUUUCUGUUCAGGGCACGUAUUUCCUGCAACACAGCUACAUCUCUGGACACUGAGUUCUACUCUUUUAUUUGAUGAUGAUGAUGAUGAUGAUGAAGACAAUAUCAGGAAAUACCUACUAUUUCCAAAUGACAAAUAGAGAACAGAGGUACAGGUAGACUUAACGAAACAGUUCUUUAAUAAUGGUUCUGUCAUCCCUUACUGCUAUUCUAUUACAUUGCCCAUAUUUGACUUAUACACUGGGACCCUGUCAGCAUGCUUCUUCCAUAGAGCUAUUUUUUUGACUGGUACCAUCUGUCAUUAUAGCUCAUCCUCCAUACUGAAUAGCUUUGCAUGCGAUGAUUAUUGGUUUCCCUGUCACUUAGCCCUCGCAGUUCUCCAUGAAAGGGUAGGAUCUCACCAUAGGCGUACUCUGAUACUAGACUCAUCUGAAUUUCCUUCUGAGAUUAAAGCUUGAAAUGGAGAGUUGAUCAAGUAUUCUGUUCAGGCUGGGCUGGGCGUCGGGGUUAUGCGUGUGUGUGUGUGUGCAUGUGUGUGUGUGUGUGCGUGCACUCGCACAUGUGCUCAUUUGGAGAGGGCAGGCUAAUUCCCAUUGCUCAAUAAAGCAAGGAACAGAUGGCGCUGUCAGUUCUAGGCACAGCACAAUCACACACCAUAUGAGCAUUCCCAAACAGUGCUGCAUAUGCAAACGCAAGCUGCCAACAAUCCCUGUGAUAUUUAAAUCCCCAGAGCUCCAAGAGAGCAUAUUGCACUGCAUUCCUUUGAACAAUAAAAAUUGCUUGACUUUCUGCCUCCUCUCCAAAUUCCUUCCCACUCCCUGCUCCCCAGCGUAAGUUAGAGAUGAGAUUCAAAGUUUAAUUUUCUGAAAUCAAGUCUUUCUUUAGUCAUUUGUUACCUAAAGCCAAAGGACACUAAGACAUUGUGGUACUGGAAAUAAAUGAGUGGGACUCUUCACAAUAAAUGUGAAAAUUAUUUAUUCUGUGAACAAGUAUAUGAAAAACUUUCUAUGGGUAAAUGGAAAAAGCCUAGAUGGAAUAAAUAAUGAUACACAUAUGUACAGUCCUUACCCUCAAGCCACUAAUAAAUCGGAAGAGAUAAGAUACACAAUGUGGCCAGAAUACAAAUUGGGACAUUAAUAGUGUAAAGUGAAAAAAAAUUUCAAUAAGUGAGAUUACUGCUAGUUGACAGGAUAAGGAAAAUUGUAUGGACAGUAGCUGCAUUUGAGUUUGACUUUGAGAAAGUCUGCUUUAAGUUGAGAGGCAAAAGGAGUGUGGCUUACUGGUGUCUAAGUGAAAUGCAUAGAUGGAGUACUAGAGAAAUUCUAUUUCCAUCACUACUCUUUUCACCAUAGAAAAUUAAAAUGAGAAAAAAAUAGAAUAUUAACCAGUUAUGAGAUUUGGGCAUUUUCCUCUCAUCGGAGAGCUCCUUUGCAACAGUUUUCCCUCUGUUUGAAAACUUUCAGUCCAUCUGGAACUCUCACACUUCUGCUUAAGUGUAAGCUGGGACUUCCACUUUGAAAACGUAAAGCUAAACACAGGCUAUUCCGUGAUCCAACUAGUCCCCUUCUAUGUAUAUUUACCAAACGCAAGGUUCUAGGAUCUUCUAGCUGUCCCUUGUAGUCUCAAACUAGAAGCUACCCAAAUGCCCCUGACAUUAAAAUUGAUAAAUACAUCAUCUGAGGUGUUGGCGGUAUACUAUUUCUUCUUGUUGGUUCUGGUUAAUGAGUGUGUUCAUUCUAUGAAAAAUAAUCUAAUUGUACUUCUAUGAUAUUUUCAAUUAGAUAUUUUUAAUUAGAAAAAUAAUCUAAUUGUACUUCUAUGAUAUGUGCA
Long non-coding RNA from Callithrix jacchus (white-tufted-ear marmoset), 3951 nucleotides. Lineage: Eukaryota; Metazoa; Chordata; Mammalia; Primates; Cebidae. The record is from Ensembl.